This 1079-nucleotide ribosomal RNA is filed under the name uncultured bacterium. Its description in RNAcentral is "bacterial SSU rRNA". It matches the Rfam family "Bacterial small subunit ribosomal RNA", at positions 73 to 1162 of the family's 1533-position model. The record is from RNAcentral.
CCCUGCUUUUGUGGGGUGCUCGAGUGGCGAACGGGUGAGUAACACGUGAGUAACCUGCCCUUGACUUUGGGAUAACUUCAGGAAACUGGGGCUAAUACCGGAUAGGAGCUCCUGCUGCAUGGUGGGGGUUGGAAAGUUUCGGCGGUUGGGGAUGGACUCGCGGCUUAUCAGCUUGUUGGUGGGGUAGUGGCUUACCAAGGCUUUGACGGGUAGCCGGCCUGAGAGGGUGACCGGCCACAUUGGGACUGAGAUACGGCCCAGACUCCUACGGGAGGCAGCAGUGGGGAAUAUUGCACAAUGGGCGGAAGCCUGAUGCAGCAACGCCGCGUGCGGGAUGACGGCCUUCGGGUUGUAAACCGCUUUCGCCUGUGACGAAGCGUGAGUGACGGUAAUGGGUAAAGAAGCACCGGCUAACUACGUGCCAGCAGCCGCGGUGAUACGUAGGGUGCGAGCGUUGUCCGGAUUUAUUGGGCGUAAAGGGCUCGUAGGUGGUUGAUCGCGUCGGAAGUGUAAUCUUGGGGCUUAACCCUGAGCGUGCUUUCGAUACGGGUUGACUUGAGGAAGGUAGGGGAGAAUGGAAUUCCUGGUGGAGCGGUGGAAUGCGCAGAUAUCAGGAGGAACACCAGUGGCGAAGGCGGUUCUCUGGGCCUUUCCUGACGCUGAGGAGCGAAAGCGUGGGGAGCGAACAGGCUUAGAUACCCUGGUAGUCCACGCUGUAAACGGUGGGUACUAGGUGUGGGGUCCAUUCCACGGGUUCCGUGCCGUAGCUAACGCUUUAAGUACCCCGCCUGGGGAGUACGGCCGCAAGGCUAAGACUCAAAGGAAUUGACGGGGCCCCGCACAAGCGGCGGAGCAUGCGGAUUAAUUCGAUGCAACGCGUAGAACCUUACCUGGGUUUGACAUGGAUCGGGAGUGCUCAGAGAUGGGUGUGCCUCUUUUGGGGUCGGUUCACAGGUGGUGCAUGGCUGUCGUCAGCUCGUGUCGUGAGAUGUUGGGUUAAGUCCCGCAACGAGCGCAACCCUUGUUCACUGUUGCCAGCACGUUAUGGUGGGGACUCAGUGGAGACCGCCGGGGUCAAC